RNAcentral lists this unclassified non-coding RNA (370 nucleotides) under uncultured Onygenales. Its description in RNAcentral is "sequence contains ITS2". The stretch from base 1 to 154 matches the Rfam family "5.8S ribosomal RNA". The record is from RNAcentral. Lineage: Eukaryota; Fungi; Ascomycota; Eurotiomycetes; Onygenales.
AACUUUUAGCAAUGGAUCACUAGGCUCUUGCAUCGAUGAAGAACGCAGCGAAAUGCGAUACGUAGUGUGAAAUGCAGACUCCAGUGAAUCAUCGAAUCUUUGAACGCACAUUGCGCCCGCUGGUAUUCCGGCGGGCAUGCCUGUCUGAGCGUCAGUAUACUCUCAAGCUCCAGCUUGGUGUUGGAAGAUGAUCUGCUUUGGCAGUUCACUUCUUAAACUGAUUGGCAAGUUUACAGUAGAAGCAAGCGUAGUAGAAAUACCAUCAGCUUAGUUGCUCUGUUAGGCUUUGUCAAAAUCAAACUUUUAAUUGUUUGACCUCAGAUCAGGUAAGGAUACCCCCUGAACUUAAGCAUAUCAAUAAGCGGAGGCU